GAUGAACGCUGGCGGCGUGCCUAAUACAUGCAAGUCGAGCGAACAGACGAGGAGCUUGCUCCUCUGACGUUAGCGGCGGACGGGUGAGUAACACGUGGAUAACCUACCUAUAAGACUGGGAUAACUUCGGGAAACCGGAGCUAAUACCGGAUAAUAUAUUGAACCGCAUGGUUCAAUAGUGAAAGACGGUUUUGCUGUCACUUAUAGAUGGAUCCGCGCCGCAUUAGCUAGUUGGUAAGGUAACGGCUUACCAAGGCAACGAUGCGUAGCCGACCUGAGAGGGUGAUCGGCCACACUGGAACUGAGACACGGUCCAGACUCCUACGGGAGGCAGCAGUAGGAAAUCUUCCGCAAUGGGCGAAAGCCUGACGGAGCAACGCCGCGUGAAUGAUGAAGGUCUUCGGAUCGUAAAACUCUGUUAUUAGGGAAGAACAAAUGUGUAAGUAACUAUGCACGUCUUGACGGUACCUAAUCAGAAAGCCACGGCUAACUACGUG
This 497-nucleotide ribosomal RNA is filed under the name uncultured bacterium. RNAcentral's name for it is "partial 16S ribosomal RNA". It matches the Rfam family "Bacterial small subunit ribosomal RNA", at positions 28 to 507 of the family's 1533-position model. The record is from RNAcentral.